GCGCCCGGCCGAGCGAACGGGAGGGCCGGAGCCGCGCCGACUGCGGCGGGUUCCAUGGCCCGGCGGGCCGCGUCGGGGGCGUUGGGCGCGGGCGCGAGCUGGGGGCGGGAGCGGCGCCGCGCGCAUGCGCGUUCCGCCGCUCGGGCCUGGCGGGGCCGGAGGGCGCGCGGUCCCCGGGGCGCGCCCUCGGCCCUGGCCGGAGCGGGCCGCCCUCGCAGUGCGCGCGCAGGCGGGGUCGCGAGCUGGGGCGCCGUCGGGGCGCGAGAAAGGCGGCCUCGGAACUGGCACAGGUGGUGAGAAAGCGUGGCUGCUGCAAGACGAGGCCCGGAGCCGGGGCCCUGGACGUGCCGGGCGCUUCGGGCGGGCCCACCGUGCUCGCGGAGGGACCGUGACGGCAGCAGGCCCGGCGCGCCCGCCGCCAGGCGCCGGUCCGGGGCCCAGCGCGCGGGCCCGGCUCUUGGGCGGAGGGGCCGCCCCGCGCGUGGCGCGCGUCGAGGGGACGGCUGCCCGGUGUGCGUCGCCUAGUCCGUGCUGCUGUGCUCGCCCUGGCUUCCGCCACAUUGCGGCGCAGUAGCCGGACGAGCGCGGGGGCGGCCGGGGGCGGCGACAGGGUCGCGCGGGGAGGGCCCACCGGCUGAGGCCACGGAAGGCGGUCCGGCGGGGUCGGUAGCCUCGGCGGAAGUGGUUCAGAGCAGCAAGAGGUGACCGACUGCAGGCGCGGCCUUAGGAGGGGGCACAAAGGGCAGGCAGUGUCUCCCCCCGAAAUCUUGGAGCCAAAACUAGUCAACACGUCACAGGGAUUUGAAAGUCGAUGGAGAGAUUUGAGGACAACGUAAAGUACGGCUGGAAAAAUAAAUAGGAAAGGCCCUCUUAAGCGAAACCUAGUGAACGCUUGCAUCCUACCGGAUGAAAACGUCCCAGAGCGGUGCGCAGUAGGCACGCGACAUGAACGAUCAUUCCCAAAGUACAAUCGGUGUGCGUGUGUCCCCUGACACAGAGGACCGCCAAUCUGUGGAACUCCAUAGGAAUGCUGCCCCGUGGCAGGCUCUCCAGCCUUCAGCCUCGGCUGCCGCCUUCGAAUCGCUCUUCGGGGAAACGAGAGGCUGUUUCGUUCCGUGCUAGAGCAGGGCUGAUCAUUUUCUCUCCCGAGUCGCUAAAACACAGAUAAGUGUUCUUAAUUCUGUCUCAUACUGGGGGGCAUCUGUUCACUUCUUCCCUAAAAAUGAGAGGCUUUAUGUCAACUGAACCUUUCUGCCAGUGAAUUAACCUCACACAACCCCAGCCUCACCUGCCCAGGGGGGACAGGGCAGAGGCACCGCGAGCUCCAUCUUUUUACACACUCAGCUCACAACAACGUUCUACGGCCCACGGCGUGUGACAGGGGCUCUGUGAAGCUUGCACUCUUCUAGCACAUUCUCUCCCAUAGAAUCCUCACAGCUGCUGACAGUCACUUCUACCUUUCUAGGUCUCAAAUGGUAAAAUUAGAAAGUUGAACUAACGGCUCUCUGAGGUCCCCACACAGCUUUUUUUUUUAGGAUUUUAUUUGUUUAUUUAUUUGACAGAGAGAGAGACAGCGAGAGAGGGAACACAAGCAGGGGGAGCGGGAGAGGGAGAAGCAGGCUCCCCGCUGAGCAGGGAGCCCGAUGUGGGGCUCGAUCCCAGGACCCCGGAAUCAUGACCUGAGCCGAAGGCAGACGCUCAACGACUGAGCCACCCAGGUGCCCCCCCACCCAGCUUUAAUAUCCUAUCACUGCUCUAUGCUUCAACCAUAAAACGUCAAACACUAUUUUUUUAAGGAAGAGCCUGCUGGGAUAAAGGGUAAAGGUCCUUGAACAUGCACAUUCCCAGGGCUCCCUGCUUGCCCGUGGAUCACAGGUGUGAGAGUCACACUUGGCUAUAAUAAAAACAAAAAUGUGCCAACAAUUCACUAGCAGUCCCCAGCUUCCUUUCUGCAGCUCAGUGCUGCCUGCAACCUCUCUGGGGAAGUCACGUGCCCAGGGGCAGCCACACUGAAAGAGGGGACAACACCCUACCCCAUUUCUCUAGAAUCCUAAACACAACCAGCCCAUUGCCUGGGGAGGUUACCCUGGGGCCAAGUGAUAGAGGAAAGGGCAGGUUCCAAAGCCCUGUCACCACUGGUCCUUCCUGUCCCUCUCCUGGUCCCCGUCGGGCCUCAGGGCCCACCCACCGCUCACCUGGAGUGCGGCUCCCCGGGUUACUUCUCACCUCAACUGCAGAACUUAAUGGGAUCUUCUGAAACCACUCUCAGCUGGUCUUCACUUCUCUGGUCCUCCAGAACUCCUUAGAACACCCAGGCCGGGCCCCCACAGCUCUGCUCUCUCUAUCCGCUGCCCUGCCCUCCCCCUCCUGCUCCCUGUGAGCCCAGUCACUUGCUCAGCUUACCCAGCUUACGGCCGCCUCCCACAGCUGCACCGGGCCCUGGGUUGCUCCCCGCACAGUCCGUCCCCUGUCUCAGCCAGCAACCCUCUGUGACACUCUCCACUUCUCAAGCUGCUCGGGCUGUGCCCCGUCCCCUUCCCGGUGAGUGGGGCCCCUCCAGCACCUGCCUGGUCUUCCCCCAGCCACGUGCCAGCAUCACUUAUAAGCCAUUUACCCAACCUGGAGCGGCCUUCCUCCCACCAAGUUCGCAUCUCGGUUAAGGACCUUGGCUCCUAGAACAGGGCUUGCUGGCUUUCCUGCGUCAUCCCUGCUGUCUUGACAGUGAUGUCUGGGACAUUCCUUGCAGCUCGUCAUCAUUUUCUGCUAACCUCAACUCCAUCUCUUCUUCCCCAGCCCGGCUGCCAGGGCCUCGUCUUCGCCUGCAUCCUCCCAACUCGAAGGUAGGCCCAUUAGUCCCGGCUUCAAACACGCCUCUCAGUUUCAUCCCCCAUCCUGCCUGGAGAGUGAGCUUUCCAAAAUUCAAACCUGACCUUUUCGCUCCUAAGCUAAACUGUUCCGAGGUGCUGCCAAUUCCUGCAUUCUGGAUUUUAAAAUCUGUUUUAAGAUACAUUAUGUAAUGCUAAACGCACAGAAGUGUAUAAAUACUGUUACUAACACCUGCACACUCAUCACUGAUUCUGCCUGGACGUCACAGUUGGAGGCCUGUGUCCUCAUGGCCACUGUUUUGCACAACUUCAGGGGACACGCCCAGGGGUCAAGCCAUGCACCCUCAGCCUCGGGGCUAGGAGAGCAGCCCUGCAUGUGCUUCCCCUCCCGGCAGUCACCCCAGACACGGAGCUAAUCUUCAUGUGCUCACUCCCUCUGCAUCUCGAAGCUGUAUGUGGUACUGUUCUGCCCACCUUCUGUAAGUGGUGGCAAGCUCUAUAUACUUAAGCAUCUGUUUUCUCGUUCCAUAUUGUGAUGAAAUGCAUAUUGUCUUCAUUUUCGCGGCUGCGGACAGUUCCAUUGUAUGACUAUAGUGCAAUUUUCUUAAUCUCUUCUGUUGAUGAAAUUUAGGCUAGUUUCGAUUUUUUUUCUUUGCUACUACAAAUAUUAUUGCUCUGAACAUCCUUAUACAUGUCUCCCUGUGGAUAUAAAUAUUCUGGGCUGUAGGAGUGGAGUUGCUGGGGUUUAACAUGAUUUUCCAACAUGAUUGCAAGAAUUUACAUUCUCACCAGCAGUGUCUGAAAAUUCUGGUGCUCUCUGUCCUCGUCCCGACUGAGUACUACCAGGCUUCUCCAUUUUUGCUAACCUGUGAGGUUUUGAGUUUUCUUAAUUUCUAGUGAGGGUGAACCUCCCAUUUGCUUUUCCUCUUCCGUGAUUUGCCUCUUGUUUUGUUUUGUUUUUUGCCUAUUUUAAAAAUUUGGUUUUGUGUGUUUUCAUUGAUCUAUUAUAAUUCUUUGUAUAUUCUGAAUACUAAUAUUUUAUUGAUAAAUACAGGUAUUUUAUGAGAUA
Molecule: long non-coding RNA, 3894 nt
Organism: Mirounga angustirostris (Northern elephant seal)
Lineage: Eukaryota; Metazoa; Chordata; Mammalia; Carnivora; Phocidae
Exons: 2
Source: RefSeq, a predicted model, not a curated record